Molecule: ribosomal RNA, 553 nt
Filed under: Irpex lacteus
Lineage: Eukaryota; Fungi; Basidiomycota; Agaricomycetes; Polyporales; Irpicaceae
Description: eukaryotic LSU rRNA
Rfam family: Eukaryotic large subunit ribosomal RNA
Source: RNAcentral
GCGAGUGAAGCGGGAAAAGCUCAAAUUUAAAAUCUGGCGGCUUUGGUCGUCCGAGUUGUAUUCUAGAGAAGUGUUUUCCGCGUUGGACCGUGUAUAAGUCUCUUGGAAUAGAGCGUCAUAGAGGGUGAGAAUCCCGUCUUUGACACGGACUACCAAUGCUUUGUGAUACACUCUCAAAGAGUCGAGUUGUUUGGGAAUGCAGCUCAAAAUGGGUGGUAAAUUCCAUCUAAAGCUAAAUAUUGGCGAGAGACCGAUAGCGAACAAGUACCGUGAGGGAAAGAUGAAAAGCACUUUGGAAAGAGAGUUAAACAGUACGUGAAAUUGCUGAAAGGGAAACGCUUGAAGUCAGUCGCGUUAGCUAGAACUCAACCAGGCUUGCUUGGCGUAUUUUCUAGUUAACGGGCCAGCAUCAGUUUUGACCGCAGGAAAAGGGCCAGGGAAAUGUGGCAUCUUCGGAUGUGUUAUAGUCUCUGGUCGUAUACUGUGAUUGGGACUGAGGACCGCAGCACGCGCAAGCUGUGCUUAGGAUGCUGGCGUAAUGGCUUUAAACGAC